Pelobates cultripes (western spadefoot toad) is the source of this 104-nucleotide non-coding RNA. The record is from the annotation of a GenBank genome assembly. NCBI's taxonomy places the organism in Eukaryota, Metazoa, Chordata, Amphibia, Anura, Pelobatidae.
UGUGUGAGUGUGUGUGUGUGUCUGUGAAUGUAUGUGUAUGUGUCUGUAAGUGUGUGUGUCUGUAAGUGUGUGUACAUUCACAGACACACACACACUCACUCAGA